RNAcentral lists this ribosomal RNA (380 nucleotides) under uncultured cyanobacterium. RNAcentral's name for it is "bacterial SSU rRNA". It matches the Rfam family "Bacterial small subunit ribosomal RNA", at positions 376 to 770 of the family's 1533-position model. The record is from RNAcentral. Lineage: Bacteria; Bacillati; Cyanobacteriota.
CGAAAGCCUGACGGAGCAAUACCGCGUGAGGGAGGAAGGUUCUUGGAUUGUAAACCUCUUUUCUCAGGGAAGAAAAAAAUGACGGUACCUGAGGAAUAAGCAUCGGCUAACUCCGUGCCAGCAGCCGCGGUAAUACGGAGGAGGCAAGCGUUAUCCGGAAUUAUUGGGCGUAAAGCGUCCGCAGGUGGCGAUUCAAGUCUGCUGUCAAAGCACGGGGCUUAACUCCGUAAAGGCAGUGGAAACUGAAUAGCUAGAGUGCCGUAGGGGUAGAGGGAAUUCCCGGUGUAGCGGUGAAAUGCGUAGAGAUCGGGAAGAACAUCGGUGGCGAAAGCGCUCUGCUGGGCCGCAACUGACACUCAGGGACGAAAGCUAGGGGAGCG